RNAcentral lists this ribosomal RNA (1050 nucleotides) under uncultured bacterium. RNAcentral describes it as "bacterial SSU rRNA". It matches the Rfam family "Bacterial small subunit ribosomal RNA", at positions 452 to 1502 of the family's 1533-position model. The record is from RNAcentral.
GUUAAUAGCAUACUCAUUUGACGUUAGCUGCAGAAGAAGCACCGGCUAAAUCCGUGCCAGCAGCCGCGGUAAUACGGAGGGUGCGAGCGUUAAUUGGAAUUACUGGGCGUAAAGCGCAUGCAGGUGGUUUGUUAAGUCAGAUGUGAAAGCCCGGGGCUCAACCUCGGAAUUGCAUUUGAAACUGGCAAACUAGAGUACUGUAGAGGGGGGUAGAAUUUCAGGUGUAGCGGUGAAAUGCGUAGAGAUCUGAAGGAAUACCGGUGGCGAAGGCGGCCCCCUGGACAGAUACUGACACUCAGAUGCGAAAGCGUGGGGAGCAAACAGGAUUAGAUACCCUGGUAGUCCACGCCGUAAACGAUGUCUACUUGGAGGUUGUGGCCUUGAGCCGUGGCUUUCGGAGCUAACGCGUUAAGUAGACCGCCUGGGGAGUACGGUCGCAAGAUUAAAACUCAAAUGAAUUGACGGGGGCCCGCACAAGCGGUGGAGCAUGUGGUUUAAUUCGAUGCAACGCGAAGAACCUUACCUACUCUUGACAUCUACAGAAGCCAGCGGAGACGCAGGUGUGCCUUCGGGAACUGUAAGACAGGUGCUGCAUGGCUGUCGUCAGCUCGUGUUGUGAAAUGUUGGGUUAAGUCCCGCAACGAGCGCAACCCUUAUCCUUGUUUGCCAGCACUUCGGGUGGGAACUCCAGGGAGACUGCCGGUGAUAAACCGGAGGAAGGUGGGGACGACGUCAAGUCAUCAUGGCCCUUACGAGUAGGGCUACACACGUGCUACAAUGGCGCAUACAGAGGGCGGCCAACUUGCGAAAGUGAGCGAAUCCCAAAAAGUGCGUCGUAGUCCGGAUUGGAGUCUGCAACUCGACUCCAUGAAGUCGGAAUCGCUAGUAAUCGUGGAUCAGAAUGCCACGGUGAAUACGUUCCCGGGCCUUGUACACACCGCCCGUCACACCAUGGGAGUGGGCUGCAAAAGAAGUGGGUAGUUUAACCUUCGGGAGGACGCUCACCACUUUGUGGUUCAUGACUGGGGUGAAGUCGUAACAAGGUAACCG